RNAcentral lists this ribosomal RNA (360 nucleotides) under uncultured bacterium. RNAcentral's name for it is "bacterial SSU rRNA". It matches the Rfam family "Bacterial small subunit ribosomal RNA", at positions 917 to 1266 of the family's 1533-position model. The record is from RNAcentral.
GGACCCGCACAAGUAGUGGAGCAUGUGGUUUAAUUCGAAGAUACGCGCAGAACCUUACCAACACUUGACAUGUUCGUCGCGACUUUAAGAGAUUAAAGUUUUCGGUUCGGCCGGACGAAACACAGGUGCUGCAUGGCUGUCGUCAGCUCGUGUCGUGAGAUGUUGGGUUAAGUCCCGCAACGAGCGCAAACCCUCACUUUUAGUUUGCCAUCAUUUAGUUGGGCACUCUGAAAAGAACUGCCAGUGAUAAGCUGGAGGAAGGUGGGGAUGACGUCAAGUCCUCAUGGCCCUUACGUGUUGGGCUACACACGUGCUACAAAUGGUAUCUACAACAGGAAAGCAAAAACAAGCGAUGUUAAA